CCUACGGGAGGCACCAGUGGGGAAUAUUGCACAAUGGGCGCAAGCCUGAUGCAGCCAUGCCGCGUGUAUGAAGAAGGCCUUCGGGUUGUAAAGUACUUUCAGUCGGGAGGAAGGUGGUGAGCUUAAUACGCUCAUCAAUUGACUUUACCGACAGAAGAAGCACCGGCUAACUCCGUGCCAGCAGCCGCGGUAAUACGGAGGGAGCAAGCGUUAAUCGGAAUUACUGGGCCUAAAGCGCACGCAGGCGGUUGAUUGAGUCAGAUGCGAAAUCCCCGGGCUUAACCCGGGAAUUGCAUCUGAUACUGGUCAGCUAGAGUCUUGUAGAGGGGGGUAGAAUUCCAUGUGUAGCGGUGAAAUGCGUAGAGAUGUGGAGGAAUACCGGUGGCGAAGGCGGCCCCCUGGACAAAGACUGACGCUCAGGUGCGAAAGCGUGGGGAGCAAACAGGAUUAGAUACCCGCGUAGUC
RNAcentral lists this ribosomal RNA (465 nucleotides) under uncultured bacterium. RNAcentral's name for it is "bacterial SSU rRNA". It matches the Rfam family "Bacterial small subunit ribosomal RNA", at positions 338 to 795 of the family's 1533-position model. The record is from RNAcentral.